AGCUCCAAUAGCGUAUAUUAAAGUUGUUGCAGUUAAAAAGCUCGUAGUUGGAUUUCGGGGCAGCCUGGCUGGUCCGCCGCAAGGCGAGUACUGGUCAGCCGCCCUUCCUCUCGAAAGCCCCGACUGCUCUUUACUGCAGUGGUCGGGUAGUUCGGGACGUUUACUUUGAAAAAAUUAGAGUGUUCAAGGCAGGCCGUCGCCUGAAUACAUUAGCAUGGAAUAAUGGAAGAGGACCUCGGUCCUAUUUUGUUGGUUUCCAGGGCCGAAGUAAUGAUUAAGAGGGACAGUUGGGGGCAUUCGUAUUUAAUUGUCAGAGGUGAAAUUCUCGGAUUUAUGAAAGACGGACAACUGCGAAAGCAUUUGCCAAGGAUGUUUUCAUUAAUCAAGAACGAAAGUACGC
RNAcentral lists this ribosomal RNA (400 nucleotides) under phytoplankton environmental sample. Its description in RNAcentral is "partial small subunit ribosomal RNA". It matches the Rfam family "Eukaryotic small subunit ribosomal RNA", at positions 587 to 994 of the family's 1831-position model. The record is from RNAcentral.